This 684-nucleotide unclassified non-coding RNA is filed under the name Hevea brasiliensis (rubber tree). Lineage: Eukaryota; Viridiplantae; Streptophyta; Magnoliopsida; Malpighiales; Euphorbiaceae. The record is from RNAcentral.
GGAACUUAUUUCCAGGCAACAGCAGAGUGAUGAGACCCCCAUGGUAUGGGAGAUGCUCUUACAUUUACAUCCUCUAUUCACCAGACUGGUACUAUCGUAGCAAGAUGCUCACUCUCCUAUUCAUGUAUGGUGCUGUUUUUGCUAUUGUUCCAUCCAGUGGUACAUUUUGAAAUAGGCUCCAAGGUGCGCUAUGUGAUCCUCUGCUUCCUUUGCAUCCCCCGAACACACAAGAUGNNNNNNNNNNNNNAAACUGUAUGUGGCUACCCUUCUUAUUGGUAGUUUGUGUUGGCUUUUUAAUCGUUUUUUCUGCAAGAAGAUAUCAAAUUGGCCCAUCAACCCACUGGGACAUGCUUUCUGGCAUGUCCUAAUGGGUCUUAAUGCCUACUUUGCAAACACUUUCUUGAUGUUUUGUCGUGCACAACAACGAGGAUGGGCACCAAGGUUGUCCAUUUUAGGGGGGAUUCUUCUAUAUGUGAAGAUUGGAAAAUCAAAAACUCAAUCAAAGAAAAUGAAAUGAUGAAGAGUAAAUUUUUUUUUUUUGGCUUAUAAUUGGCGUAUAUGAGAAGUUCUGGCAAGCGAGGAAAACAAUCGGUCAAAUUUAUUGUUCAUCUGGACUGAUCUUGAGUGGGGAAAUGUAACAACAAAAUUUUCAUUGUAAAAGUAAGAAAUUGUACUAUAUUUAAA